Molecule: non-coding RNA, 592 nt
Organism: Misgurnus anguillicaudatus (oriental weatherfish)
Lineage: Eukaryota; Metazoa; Chordata; Actinopteri; Cypriniformes; Cobitidae
Source: RefSeq, a predicted model, not a curated record
UUACUAAUUAUUGUCCUUUUUAUACAUUUUCUUCUUAAAAAUCUUAUUAUGGUAAGGAUAAUGUAUUUGUUCCCUUCAAGUGUCUGCCACUGCAGCUGAUGUUGAGACAACUCUCAGUCUUCCUGCAAGUCCUCGCCUGAUGCUACCUGGCACUUUAUUGGUAUAAUUCCAGAGAGAUGGACAAAGCCCAAAAUCAUCAGGCAAGGUUGUCACUAAGAAGAAAGAGUUGUAAUUGUCCAGAAGUCGUCUUCUGGAGUUAAUACACGCAUCGCCAUGCUACUGAAUAAUCUCGUUGACUUUUUAAAAUAGAUCGUGGCAGCACUGGAAUAAUGCUGCAGAGAGGAACAGCGGCUACCAAAGUGAUGAUCAUCUCUUCUGGAUCCACAAGAUCUAAGAUGUAAAAACACAAGCCUACCUCACAGGACAAUUUUAAGAGGUAACCUGCAAGUCUAGCUUGCAGUGGCACAGGUGCCUACCCUACGGUUUCAUCCUAAAUGGUUUUUUGUGCAUGUUAUUGACACAUGACAAAAUGUUACACUGUACUAUAAUAGUUUCAAAAUGGCCUUAAGUGUGUUUUCAAACGUAUGUCUUA